ACUUGUUCUGGUAUGGACGGUUUGUGGAGUUCGUGGACAAAGGUUCCUGCUGGAACUUCUGCACGAGUUGAGCCCAUUUUUGAUAGUACGUCGGCGGCUAUGUUGUUGUCGUGGAUGAUAUGGUGAAAUUCCAAGCCUGAGAACUUGUUUUCCAGUUUGCGGACUUCUUUGCAGUAAGCGUCCAUGUUGUCCUUGUUUCGAUCCCAUUCGUCAUUGACUUGGUUUAUAACGACUAGUGAGUCGCCGUAUACCAAUAGUCUUUUGAUGCCGAGGGAAAUUGCAAGGCGAAGGCCGUGUAGCAGUGCUUCGUACUCG
Molecule: long non-coding RNA, 315 nt
Filed under: Setaria viridis
Lineage: Eukaryota; Viridiplantae; Streptophyta; Magnoliopsida; Poales; Poaceae
Description: long non-coding RNA (SVIR_LNC009282)
Source: RNAcentral